Long non-coding RNA from Grus americana (Whooping crane), 2255 nucleotides. RefSeq lists it as uncharacterized. The record is from RefSeq and is a predicted model, not a curated record. The transcript has 3 exons. Lineage: Eukaryota; Metazoa; Chordata; Aves; Gruiformes; Gruidae.
GUGCACGGGCUGCGCUACACGGGGCACCGCCGCCGUUCCUGAGCCGGGGACCCGACAGGUCACCCAUAGCUGUUCCUGAGCUGGGAGUCUGCGGGGCUCCCAUCCGUUGGCGUGCGUUGGGGUAUUACACCGACAAGGAGAAGAAUCUGGCUGUGGAGCACCCGUAGCCCUGACAUGGGAAGAGCACUUGGUCGAGAGCUUCCCCCAGUUUUCAGCUGGCUGCCCCGCUGCAAGAAGCUCAGCGUGACCUGAUCAAGUGCCCUGGCUUCGUGCAGCCUUGACCUGGAAGAGCUUGCAAGCUGCUAAGGGUCCUCUGUCCCCUCCGGGUUCGGCCCUGUGCCGUAAGCGCUACUUGUGCCUCCCGGGCAGUGGGGAGAGCUGCCCUGAGUUAGGCGGGACCGUAAAAUGGUAUUAAAAUAAUGGAGACACUUCUUCAGGAGCAGUGUGGGUGAUCGUGCUCUUAAUGAGCAGCUGUAAGUGCAACAUCCAUCUAUAGAUAAGAAAAAUUGUUCAGAGUUUGUGAUACCUAUUGCAUGUUGUGCUCCUUGUAGUUCCACAAAUCAAUGUGUGGUUUUGUCCAUUAUAAAUAGCAGACAACUUUUGUGGAGUUUUCAAGAAAAAUGAUGAUCUACUGCAGCAUUAGGCUUAAUACUAUUCCAGAAUUUCUGCAUAGUAUGUUGAUUAAGACAACUUCUGUGUCCUGUAUUUCAUUUUCAUCUCUCUGUUAAUACAUCAUGAGUGGGGUAGUCCUAGUAAAAUUACAUGUUGGUUCUAUCUAAGGAUUUUUACUCAGAAGAAGUAUCUUCAGGGGUCAUCUGUGGAGGGAAGAUUUGGUCAGCUCUUAAAUUAGCUUCAGAACAAGAGCAAAUGGCUAUUGAUUACCUCCUAAUAAAUGUUCUUCUAAAACCAAUUUUCUCUUUUGCAGGAGAAAAUGUAUUCGCUUAGAGUUUCCUUGGAACCACAUAUCUUCAUCGCCAUCGGAAUUCCAUGGCUGUUGUCUGAACUUUACUGGUACAAUUCUAUUGGGGAAAGAACAUUUAAUAUGCACAGGUGGAAGAGAAGAAGACCACAGACUGCAAAUCUCUUAAAAAAGAUUAAGGAAUUGUACUACCUAAGGAAAUGUUGAUCAUGAAAAUCAGGGAGGAACAAGUGUAAGCCUGGAAACAGCAUCUUCCUGUGAAUUGGUGCUGGAAGCUCUAGAGACUGAGAACUCGGUAAGGGAACACAGCGCAGCACAACGGAAACAGCCCUUGCUGCGGUGAAGACGCCCUUGCCUGUCAGCCAGCGCUCUGUGACCCGUCUGGGGAGGUGCCAGCGCAGCCCCUGUGUCCGUCUUGGGGAGGCUUCGUCCUACAGAGGUGGAGCUCAGCUCUGUCACUGUGCCCUGCUCGAGUCACUCAUUACUUCAGUUCCGAUUGCUGUGUGGGAAAUGUUUGGUUGUUAUAGCCCUGCCAGCAUGAGUGUUUUCAGCUGUAAAGACAUGCCUCGAUACAAGUUUUGCAUAUAUUUGGAUUCUUUCAGAAAGUAUUUCUCCUCUUCUGAAUAGAAGAAGAAACUUAGAGGGGAAUUGGAAGGGGCAAGUAAAGUUCCCAACAAAGAGUGUCUCAUCCUCUUUCCUCCUUUUGUUCCACACAGCACAUCAAGAGAGUUUUAUUUUAAACUUUUCAUUUAAAGUUCAGAUAUGCACAAACUAUCUUUGCUGCCCUGCACUGGGUUAGGGUAGUACCACAUUUCACAAAUAGCCCCAUUAAAGCCAGUGUUUGUUUUUUUGUGGAGAUUUGAACCAGUUAUUUGAUUGCCCUAAAGCAAAAUGAUCGGCUUUGCAUUUUUCAUGAUGAGUUGUGUUAUAUUUUCUCAAGUGUGAUGUAAACUCUUGGCGGACUCUUCCUUAUGCUAUGCCUGAGGGUUGUGGUCCUGCUGAUUUCACUCUUCCUGGUCUCGGCUACCCUGUUCUGAAGCUGAAUGAACGUUCUACCAAACAGCCCAGCCACAGGCUGUGGCCACGUGCCAGCUCCCCGGUAGCGUGAAUGCACGAACCUUUGGUUCCGUGGCUGGUGCUGUGGGUUUGGGGACGCUGGGCCGUGCCUUGUGAUGAAGAACCAUGGCACGGUCCUGGGGAAAUGACCGUGCUUUGUCUUGGCACAGUGGAAUGAAAUACUUUCCUUCAUCUUUCUUAGUUUGGUUGUGAACUGGUUCUUGUGAAUUUGGACUCUGAAUGCUGAACAGUAAAUAUUUAUGAAAUGUAAUGGCCAAGA